This 159-nucleotide ribosomal RNA is filed under the name White-sloanea crassa. RNAcentral's name for it is "5.8S ribosomal RNA". It matches the Rfam family "5.8S ribosomal RNA". Rfam says of the family: 5.8S ribosomal RNA (5.8S rRNA) is a component of the large subunit of the eukaryotic ribosome. It is transcribed by RNA polymerase I as part of the 45S precursor that also contains 18S and 28S rRNA. The record is from RNAcentral. Lineage: Eukaryota; Viridiplantae; Streptophyta; Magnoliopsida; Gentianales; Apocynaceae.
CGACUCUCGACAACGGAUAUCUAGGCUCUCGCAUCGAUGAAGAACGUAGCAAAAUGCGAUACUUGGUGUGAAUUGCAGAAUCCCGUGAAUCAUCGAGUUUUUGAACGCAAGUUGCGCCCGAAGCCAUUAGGCCAAGGGCACGUCUGCCUGGGUGUCACG